CUAGCAUACUGUUGGAAUUAAACAAAGAAAAGUGGAAAGAAAUCACCAAAACUCGACAGGACAUGAUUGACUCCACGAAUUUGCUUGACUUUUGCACGUGUAUUUUGAUUUCUCGAGUCACAGGAUCAGCUUCCAACUUUCUGUUUAUCAAAAUAUAUAUGUAGCAGCCGACAACCCUUUGUUUGAAUCCAAUAAAUGGACUUGAAAAUUCUGUCUUUUUUUUUUUUUCAAUCCACUUGCUGCCACCAACUUUAUAUAUAUAUAUUUCAAUCAAUUUACCAUUAAUUCUCCUCCCUUCUCUGCCUCUUUCUGUGGGUAUGUAUGUAUAUGAAUUAAAUCACAAGGCUGCCCCUUUUUUUCUUCCUCCUCGCCGUAGUAGUUUCUCUAGGUAAACUUUCCUCCCUCAGCCGUGUGAUGUGUAUCUGCCACUGCCCAAGUUUAUGUAUAUAUCCCAGCAGCCAAUUUCUCUUCUUGCUGUAGGUUUGUAUGUAUAUUAGUCAGCAGUAGCCGUUUUUUUUCUCCCCCCAAGCAGCCUUUUUUUUUUGUGAAUUCUGGCCAGCGACUUCUUGUGUAUAUAUCUCACCUCUCUUCCCCUCUAAUUGGUGUGUAAAAUAUAUAUAAAUCAGC
This 627-nucleotide long non-coding RNA is filed under the name Olea europaea subsp. europaea. The record is from RNAcentral. Lineage: Eukaryota; Viridiplantae; Streptophyta; Magnoliopsida; Lamiales; Oleaceae.